GAAAUACUCCCUCCGUCCGAAAAUACUUGUCAUCAAUCAAAAUGAAUAAAAGGGGAUGUAUCUAGACGUAUUUUAGUUCUAGAUACAUCCCUUUUUAUCCAUUUUGAUGACAAGUAUUUUCGGACGGAGGAGUAACUC
Triticum urartu is the source of this 138-nucleotide non-coding RNA. NCBI's taxonomy places the organism in Eukaryota, Viridiplantae, Streptophyta, Magnoliopsida, Poales, Poaceae. The record is from Rfam.